RNAcentral lists this ribosomal RNA (253 nucleotides) under uncultured bacterium. Its description in RNAcentral is "partial 16S ribosomal RNA". It matches the Rfam family "Bacterial small subunit ribosomal RNA", at positions 524 to 776 of the family's 1533-position model. The record is from RNAcentral.
UACGUAGGAGGCUAGCGUUGUCCGGAAUCAUUGGGCGUAAAGCGCGUGUAGGCGGCCCGGUAAGUCCGCUGUGAAAGUCCAGGGCUCAACCCUGGGAUGCCGGUGGAUACUGUCGGGCUCGAGUCCGGAAGAGGCGAGUGGAAUUCCUGGUGUAGCGGUGAAAUGCGCAGAUAUCAGGAGGAACACCAAUGGCGAAGGCAGCUCGCUGGGACGUGACUGACGCUGAGGAGCGAAAGCGUGGGGAGCGAACAGG